UUAGCCGUGACUUUUAAGACAAACAAACAAGCUGAUAUAUCUCGUAUAAUCUUGAAAUGUUUGCAUGAACUAGUUUUUUUUCCCUCUUUGUUCUAUUAUACUACGCUGAUGCCGGCUGAUGGUUUACAUACCCUUUAAAAAAAAUAAAAAUGGAAGGAUAUUGUACAUGAAAUUUACCCCUGCUCCAGUGGUCCUUAGACUCCAAACUCUACGUACGCUGG
This 221-nucleotide long non-coding RNA is filed under the name Sorghum bicolor (sorghum). RNAcentral describes it as "long non-coding RNA (SBIC_LNC011222)". The record is from RNAcentral. Lineage: Eukaryota; Viridiplantae; Streptophyta; Magnoliopsida; Poales; Poaceae.